Molecule: ribosomal RNA, 1033 nt
Filed under: Occultifur pisutianus
Lineage: Eukaryota; Fungi; Basidiomycota; Cystobasidiomycetes; Cystobasidiales; Microsporomycetaceae
Description: SSU rRNA
Rfam family: Eukaryotic small subunit ribosomal RNA (bases 1-796)
Source: RNAcentral
GAUAGUGACAAUAAAUAACAAUGUAGGGCUCUUAUGGGUCUUAUAAUUGGAAUGAGUACAAUUUAAAUCCCUUAACGAGGAUCAAUUGGAGGGCAAGUCUGGUGCCAGCAGCCGCGGUAAUUCCAGCUCCAAUAGCGUAUACUAAAAUUGUUGCCGUUAAAAAGCUCGUAGUCGAACUUCGGCCUUUGCCGCCCGGUCCGCCUUUUUGGUGUGUACUGGAGCGGUGGAGGCCUACUUCGUGGUGAACGGCCAUGCUCUUUACUGGGUGUGGUCGGGAACCAUGACUUUUACCUUGAAAAAAUUAGAGUGUUCAAAGCAGGCUUACGCCCGAAUACAUUAGCAUGGAAUAAUAAAAUAAGACGUGCGUUCUUAUUUUGUUGGUUUCUAGGAUCGCCGUAAUGAUUAAUAGGGAUAGUUGGGGGCAUUCGUAUUCAAUCGCUAGAGGUGAAAUUCUUGGAUUGAUUGAAGACGAACUACUGCGAAAGCAUUUGCCAAGGAUGUUUUCAUUGAUCAAGAACGAAGGUUAGGGGAUCGAAAACGAUCAGAUACCGUUGUAGUCUUAACAGUAAACGAUGCCGACUAGGGAUCGGACGAGGAUUUUUAAUGACUCGUUCGGCACCUGAAGAGAAAUCUUUAAGUCUAGGUUCGGGGGGGAGUAUGGUCGCAAGGCUGAAACUUAAAGGAAUUGACGGAAGGGCACCACCAUGGUGUAAACAGCCGCAGUUACUCUGCACCUAACAGGGCGCUCGAAAGAGAUGUGUGGUUGGUGUCCUUUUCAAAUUUGCCCUAGUCAAUGCUCGCAUUGGCAAGACGUCCAAAUUGCGGGAAUCUCGGGGGACGCAAGUCUCCAGUGCUCACCGGUACCAAGUCAGCGGAGCGAUCUGCUGAUGGCCAAGUCGUAACAGCCUUGGGUAGGGUAACAAUCCGGGAGCUCAGAGUGAUCCGCAGCGCUUUCGCUACGCCGAAAUCGUUCAGAGGCUAAAUGGAAGGUCGGUUGGUUGUAGGCCAGCUUAAGAUAUAGUCCACGUACUGC